GUGCAGCAGUCGCGAAAACCUCACAAUGUGCGAAAGCACGAUGAGGGAGUCCCAAGUGCUUGCACGUAAGUGUAAGCUGUUUCUCUGUCUAAAACGCAGAGAGAGUAAGGGCUGGGUAAGACGGGUGCCAGCCGCCGCGGUAAUACCUGCAGCUCGAGUGGUGACCGUUAUUAUUGGGCCUAAAACGUCCGUAGCCGGUUUAAUAAAUGCCUGGGUAAAUCGGACCGCUUAACGGUUCGAAUUCCGGGUAGACUGUUAAACUUGAGACCGGGAGAAGUUAGAGGUACUCCUGGGGUAGAGGUGAAAUUCUGUAAUCCUAGGGGGACCACCAGUGGCGAAGGCGUCUAACUAGAACGGGUCUGACGGUGAGGGACGAAGCCCUGGGGCGCAAACGGGGAUUAGAUACCCGGGGUA
RNAcentral lists this ribosomal RNA (414 nucleotides) under uncultured microorganism. RNAcentral describes it as "bacterial SSU rRNA". It matches the Rfam family "Archaeal small subunit ribosomal RNA", at positions 330 to 743 of the family's 1478-position model. The record is from RNAcentral.